AUAUUCAUUUACCUUUUUGUUCCGGAAACAAAAGGACAGUCCCUAGAGGAGAUAGACCAGCAGUUCUCCAGGAAAAGGGUUUGGGAAGGAAAUGUGUUCAAGCAGAGACGUGGACAAGGAGCGAGCUGCACACACGCACAGUACCAGAGGGUGGAGCACACCAACAGCCCAUGAAACCAUCAACGUGCCUUCAGCAUCGUGUCUGAGCAGCUUUUCCAGGAGAGGAGCGGGCUGGGCCAUCAGGACAGUUCUUUUCCAUGGCCUUUAACUGGUGACCUCUGCUCACAGACAGUUCUCCCUGCAGUGCCUUAGCUGUGGGGACAUGCAGAUAGCUGUCCUUUGGAUCCUUGGAGGAUCGUUGUUCCCCGGCAGGGAGCACAUCCUUCCUUUGACGUCUUUAAUUCUUCAUCAUUUGUACCUCCCAUCGUUUAAGAGAUUAAUUUUUUUUUUGUACGCAGGGAUUAAAGCACAACUUUUGCCGG
Molecule: long non-coding RNA, 482 nt
Organism: Lepidothrix coronata (blue-crowned manakin)
Lineage: Eukaryota; Metazoa; Chordata; Aves; Passeriformes; Pipridae
Exons: 2
Source: RefSeq, a predicted model, not a curated record